Molecule: long non-coding RNA, 354 nt
Organism: Trachymyrmex cornetzi
Lineage: Eukaryota; Metazoa; Arthropoda; Insecta; Hymenoptera; Formicidae
Exons: 3
Source: RefSeq, a predicted model, not a curated record
AAGAAAAAUCAUUAAACAGAAACCAUCUAACAGCAAUGCAAAAAGAAGUGGGGAAAUUAUGCAAAACAAGAGAAAAAAAACAACGAAUUGGUGUGCAGCUGCAGGAAGCACGAGACAAAUUUACACAAAUUGCUGAAAACCACACCGAAGCUCUGCAAGGCCGCGUUCCAAAACGUAACUUUGGUUACUAAAAAGCUAUAGUUUACGUUACGUUAACUAUAGAUUUCAGUUACCAAAGUUGCGUUUUGGAACGCACCCCAGAAGCGUCUAUGAAACAAGCUGAAGCAGCAUUAUUAAAAGCCCAAACUGAAGAACGACGACUUGAAUUGGAAGAACAACAAAUGAGAUUUGAAG